This 447-nucleotide ribosomal RNA is filed under the name uncultured bacterium. Its description in RNAcentral is "bacterial SSU rRNA". It matches the Rfam family "Bacterial small subunit ribosomal RNA", at positions 355 to 825 of the family's 1533-position model. The record is from RNAcentral.
UCGGGAAUUUUGGGCAAUGGGGGAAACCCUGACCCAGCAACGCCGCGUGAAGGAUGAAGUAUUUCGGUAUGUAAACUUCGAAAGAAUAGGAAGAAUAAAUGACGGUACUAUUUAUAAGGUCCGGCUAACUACGUGCCAGCAGCCGCGGUAAUACGUAGGGACCAAGCGUUGUUCGGAUUUACUGGGCGUAAAGGGCGCGUAGGCGGCAUGACAAGUCACUUGUGAAAUCUCUGGGCUUAACCCAGAACGGCCAAGUGAUACUGUCGCGCUAGAGUGCAGAAGGGGCAAUCGGAAUUCUUGGUGUAGCGGUGAAAUGCGUAGAUAUCAAGAGGAACACCUGAGGUGAAGACGGGUUGCUGGGCUGAUACUGACGCUCAUGUACGAAAGCGUGGGGAGCAAACAGGAUUAGAUACCCCGGUAGUCCCUGAGCGGGCUGGCAAGGCGCAU